GGGGGCGACAGGCUUCGACAGGGGCUUGUAUAGAUCUUUGGAUGCACGUCGGGCUUGCUUGUUAGCUCGUUAAAACACCAAGCAAAACACAAAUGCCAAUACAGAAAUGGCUCUUGCUGCCUAG
This 124-nucleotide transfer-messenger RNA is filed under the name Acidobacteriota bacterium. RNAcentral describes it as "partial transfer-messenger RNA". It matches the Rfam family "transfer-messenger RNA", at positions 1 to 128 of the family's 374-position model. Rfam says of the family: Bacterial tmRNA, also known as 10Sa RNA or SsrA, is named for its dual tRNA and mRNA-like properties. Its role is to liberate the mRNA from a stalled ribosome. Lineage: Bacteria; Pseudomonadati; Acidobacteriota. The record is from RNAcentral.